AUAUGCAAAUGUAUCGCGUUCUCGAAUAUGUAGAUACUACUUUACCAAAAUCAAUGUGUUUACCUCGGCUAAAAUUUCUGUGGCUUGGUGGAUUUUCAAUCGCUAAUGUAGAACUAUCUAAAAGGCUCUUUUCAAGUUGUCCAGCUCUUGAAACGUUGGUCAUAGCUAAUUCUGAUAUACAAACUGAUGAUCAAAGGAAUUUGAUUGUGGAUUCUCUCAGCCUCAAGAAGUUCAACUAUUUUAAUCACUAUGUACAUCUUUUGCCGCAUAAUAAUACUAUGCCUACCACUAUCAAGUUACGUGCUCCAAAUAUUGGUAUCUAGAAAACUGUUCUCCAAUAUCCAGGGUAGAUUUUGACGUAAUUCUCAAAGCAAUGGAAGAUGAGAGUGCAGAAGCAUAUUUAAAACUGCCUUCAGAGGAAAAAGAUGUGUAUGCUAAAUGCAUGAUGAAAUAUCUAGGAGCAGUUUAUAUGGUGGAGAAAAUGAGAUUAUCAGCUGGAUUCCUUGAGGUUCUCUCACAAGCUCUUGACAUAUCAGAAUGUUAACCCCCUCGAUUAUGUAAUCUCCAAAGUUUGGGACUACAUAUGUGGUUUACAAGAGGUUGCUCGCGUUCAAUGGCAUACUUACUCAAUAUAUCUCCUAAAAUAAAUUCUAUAUUUCUUACAGCAAAGGAGGCGAACUUAGCGGUCAUUGGAGAUGAUUGGGAAGCAGGAUUGUCAUCGCCAGGAAUGUUGUCUCACCUCGAGUAUGUCAGUAUUGAAAAAGUGG
Papaver somniferum (opium poppy) is the source of this 767-nucleotide long non-coding RNA. RefSeq lists it as uncharacterized. The record is from RefSeq and is a predicted model, not a curated record. Lineage: Eukaryota; Viridiplantae; Streptophyta; Magnoliopsida; Ranunculales; Papaveraceae. The transcript is spliced from 3 exons.